AUACGUAGGUGACAAGCGUUAUCCGGAUUUACUGGGCGUAAAGGGCGUGUAGGCGGUCUUGCAAGUCAGAAGUGAAAUUCCUGAGCUCAACUCGGGCGCUGCUUCUGAAACUGCAGGACUUGAGUGCUGGAGGGGAUAGCGGAAUUCCUAGUGGAGCGGUAAAAUGCGCAGAUAUUAGGAAGAACACCGGUGGCGAAGGCGGCUAUCUGUACAUUAACUGACGCUGAGGGGCGAAAGCGGGGGGAGCAAACAGGAUUAGAUACCCUGGUAGUCCACGCCGUAAACGAUGAAUGCUAGGUGUGGGUGUCGAGAGGCAUCCGUGCCGGAGUUAACGCGAUAAGCAUUCCGCCUGGGGAGUACGAUCGCAAGAUUGAAACUCAAAUGAAUUGACGGGG
This 395-nucleotide ribosomal RNA is filed under the name uncultured bacterium. Its description in RNAcentral is "partial 16S ribosomal RNA". It matches the Rfam family "Bacterial small subunit ribosomal RNA", at positions 523 to 918 of the family's 1533-position model. The record is from RNAcentral.